CUCAUCUUCAAGCUGCCACUCUAAGCCGAUCUCUAUCUUCUAACGCUCUCUCUCUCUCUCUCCCUUCUGAUAUUUUGCACCGCCGUGCACAGGUUUCUGGUGUUUUCUCCAAUGCGUUCAUCUCCCUCUGCGCUCCUCCCUGUCGCGCCCUCCCUGGUGCACGCGCGCAGCUCCCUCUGCCUUCCAUGGCCGCGCCGGUUUGGAGCUAUCUUCACGCGCCCUGGUUCCUGCACCCAGUCAUCUUCUCCUACCGCAACUCUCUCCUCCCUCCAUCUCUCCUGCGCGCGCCCAGCCCCAGUGCCCGGCCGAGAUCCCUGGCCGCCGCGCCCUGCUCUCGGUUGCUGCUCGCCGGUGCUCCAGCUUGUCGGGCGCGCCCCUGCUCCUCGCCCCUCCCCAGCCGAGGCCCCUCCUUCCCGUUUCCCAUGGCCAAGCGUCCGGCCGGAGCUUCUUUUGCUCAGCUCUCUGCUGUUGAGCUCCUCCGGCUGUGCUUCCCUGCUCAGCGCGUUUCUCCCUACUCUCUCCCUCCUCUGGACAUGGAUGCUUAGGAGAAGUGGUAGCCCCAGCUCGGCAACACCAAUAGGCUCCCUGGAACCAGCCUCCCUUUCGAGUCCCUCCGCGUGCCACUGGUCUCUGCUUCUCCCACGGCCGCCGUCGAGUCGUCGGACUCGUCCAUUCCCCGCUCGCCCCUGCGCUCGCCCAGCUCCCUGUGCCUGCCAUUCCAGCAACUCUGGCGUCAACGCUCCCUGUUCUUGUUGCUUAGAGUGCUCCAGCAUCUCGCCCUCGUGGCCUUCGAGUUAGAUUAAGUUAUUGGUGAGCGCCGUGCUGUCGGACUCCAUCAUGCAGCCGGUGUUCGACAAAGAAAAAUCUAGUCUAGGAUUCUGACUCGGCCUCGACCCUGUCGUCCUUGAAGGUCCUACUAUCCCUAUGUUGUUCGUCGUUAUCUUGGUCAUGUGGUGGCCGCAACUUCCUAUGUUAGUCCCUAGUCCACAUCGUCGUCCAGCUCAGUAGCCGUAUACCAUCGACAGAGGAGAGAAAUCACUGGAUUGCGUGACAAAGAAGCGUAGUCCAAUAUGACACCUGCCAGCCAAGCACUCGACAAAUUCCCUGAAUCGGAGAACCAUUACCGAUCUCGUGUAUUCGAGUCAGCUAUUGGAAUGGUCGCAAGCGCUCAAUGUGGAAGAAUGGAAUUAGAUGAAGAAGAAAGAGAGGUUCAGCGCGAUGCUCACUAGGUGCUCAAUAAAUUGCGAGUCACGGAACUCUCGUCGACUUCGAGGUUACGAGUCACUUUGAUUGUGAUUGAUGUUAAGUGCCGGUGGGCUCGGCCUUCUUAUAAGUCUAAGUACUUCUUCUAUACUUCUUAUUGAGGAUUGUCAUUGAGCUAGCAUGUAUUUCAAACUUAUAAAUAAUUUAUAACAUUUCAAAGUUUAUUCUUUGAACCACUAUUGUAACCACUC
RNAcentral lists this unclassified non-coding RNA (1454 nucleotides) under Zea mays. Its description in RNAcentral is "misc RNA Zm00001eb089920". The record is from RNAcentral. Lineage: Eukaryota; Viridiplantae; Streptophyta; Magnoliopsida; Poales; Poaceae.